RNAcentral lists this transfer RNA (78 nucleotides) under Blumeria hordei DH14. RNAcentral describes it as "tRNA-Gly for anticodon GCC". It matches the Rfam family "tRNA". Rfam says of the family: Transfer RNA (tRNA) molecules are approximately 80 nucleotides in length. RNAcentral also lists the same sequence under 1 other name. The record is from Rfam by way of RNAcentral. Lineage: Eukaryota; Fungi; Ascomycota; Leotiomycetes; Helotiales; Erysiphaceae.
GCAUCAGUGGUUUAGUGGUAAAAUCCAUCGUUGCCAGUCAUGAUCGAUGGGCCCCGUGUUCGAUUCACGGCUGAUGCA